GCUAAUACCGCAUAAUGUCUACGGACCAAAGGGGGCUUCGGCUCUCGCCUUUAGAUUGGCCCAAGUGGGAUUAGCUAGUUGGUGAGGUAAUGGCUCACCAAGGCGACGAUCCCUAGCUGGUUUGAGAGGAUGAUCAGCCACACUGGGACUGAGACACGGCCCAGACUCCUACGGGAGGCAGCAGUGGGGAAUAUUGCACAAUGGGCGCAAGCCUGAUGCANCCNUGCCGCGUGUGUNAAAAAGGCCUUCNGNUUGNAAAGCACUUUCAGUCA
RNAcentral lists this ribosomal RNA (272 nucleotides) under Pseudoalteromonas sp. LM1205. RNAcentral describes it as "partial 16S ribosomal RNA". It matches the Rfam family "Bacterial small subunit ribosomal RNA", at positions 162 to 442 of the family's 1533-position model. The record is from RNAcentral. Lineage: Bacteria; Pseudomonadati; Pseudomonadota; Gammaproteobacteria; Alteromonadales; Pseudoalteromonadaceae.